Molecule: long non-coding RNA, 433 nt
Organism: Drosophila navojoa
Lineage: Eukaryota; Metazoa; Arthropoda; Insecta; Diptera; Drosophilidae
Source: RefSeq, a predicted model, not a curated record
CAAAAUAAUUAAAAGUAUUGCACGAUAUUUGGCGACAGCACUGACUAAAUCAUUCUUCUAUCUGGGCACCCCAACACUUUGUCCCACACAGCAGCUGGCCCUGGUCAGCUCCUUCCAUCCGCACUAUAGCAUAUCGUAUUGGUCACAUUGUCAUCUGUGCGCGUGUCGCAAUGCUGGAGACAUUUCUGUAUGUGCUCUAUGAGUUCUUCAAGUACGUCUUCCCGAUACGCAUCGUCAAUGAACUCGACGAUCUGAUAAUGCCCAGCGAGACGGAGUAUGGUGUCUGGCAUGACAUCUAAGGCCGCCGCAUUUGCUUCAAUCUCUGUCUCGUUUAAUAUCUUUCUCUCUGUCUAUUUGAUAUGGCAACUAAUUGAUUGAUGAUGAUGUUGCUGGGCGGCAAGAGUUUCCAAUAAAAAGCAUUCCUGAGCCUAAA